ACGAUGUCGACUUGGAGGUUGUGCCCUUGAGGCGUGGCUUCCGGAGCUAACGCGUUAAGUCGACCGCCUGGGGAGUACGGCCGCAAGGUUAAAACUCAAAUGAAUUGACGGGGGCCCGCACAAGCGGUGGAGCAUGUGGUUUAAUUCGAUGCAACGCGAAGAACCUUACCUGGUCUUGACAUCCACGGAAGUUUUCAGAGAUGAGAAUGUGCCUUCGGGAACCGUGAGACAGGUGCUGCAUGGCUGUCGUCAGCUCGUGUUGUGAAAUGUUGGGUUAAGUCCCGCAACGAGCGCAACCCUUAUCCUUUGUUGCCAGCGGUCCGGCCGGGAACUCAAAGGAGACUGCCAGUGAUAAACUGGAGGAAGGUGGGGAUGACGUCAAGUCAUCAUGGCCCUUACGACCAGGGCUACACACGUGCUACAAUGGCGCAUACAAAGAGAAGCGACCUCGCGAGAGCAAGCGGACCUCAUAAAGUGCGUCGUAGUCCGGAUUGGAGUCUGCAACUCGACUCCAUGAAGUCGGAAUCGCUAGUAAUCGUGGAUCAGAAUGCCACGGUGAAUACGUUCCCGGGCCUUGUACACACCGCCCGUCACACCAUGGGAGUGGGUUGCAAAAGAAGUAGGUAGCUUAACCUUCGGGAGGGCGCUUACCACUUUGUGAUUCAUGACUGGGGUGAAGUCGUAACAAGGUAACCGUAGGGGAACCUGCGGUUGGAUCAC
This 720-nucleotide ribosomal RNA is filed under the name Escherichia coli. RNAcentral's name for it is "bacterial SSU rRNA". It matches the Rfam family "Bacterial small subunit ribosomal RNA", at positions 806 to 1526 of the family's 1533-position model. RNAcentral also lists the same sequence under 1 other name. The record is from RNAcentral. Lineage: Bacteria; Pseudomonadati; Pseudomonadota; Gammaproteobacteria; Enterobacterales; Enterobacteriaceae.